AGUGAACGCUGGCGGUAGGCCUAACACAUGCAAGUCGAACGGCAGCACAGUAAGAGCUUGCUCUUACGGGUGGCGAGUGGCGGACGGGUGAGGAAUACAUCGGAAUCUACUUUUUCGUGGGGGAUAACGUAGGGAAACUUACGCUAAUACCGCAUACGACCUACGGGUGAAAGCAGGGGAUCGUCGGACCUUGCGCGAUUGAAUGAGCCGAUGUCGGAUUAGCUAGUUGGCGGGGUAAAGGCCCACCAAGGCGACGAUCCGUAGCUGGUCUGAGAGGAUGAUCAGCCACCCUGGAACUGAGACCCGGUCCAGACUCCUACGGGAGGCAGCAGUGGGGAAUAUUGGACAAUGGGCGCAAGCCUGAUCCAGCCAUACCGCGUGGGUGAAGAAGGCCUUCGGGUUGUAAAGCCCUUUUGUUGGGAAAGAAAAGCAGCAGGUUAAUACCGCGCUGUUCUGACGGUACCCAAAGAAUAAGCACCGGCUAACUUCGUG
Molecule: ribosomal RNA, 492 nt
Filed under: uncultured bacterium
Lineage: Bacteria
Description: partial 16S ribosomal RNA
Rfam family: Bacterial small subunit ribosomal RNA
Source: RNAcentral